Molecule: signal recognition particle RNA, 292 nt
Filed under: Saimiri boliviensis boliviensis (Bolivian squirrel monkey)
Lineage: Eukaryota; Metazoa; Chordata; Mammalia; Primates; Cebidae
Description: Metazoan signal recognition particle RNA (ENSSBOG00000009108.1)
Rfam family: Metazoan signal recognition particle RNA
About the family: The signal recognition particle (SRP) is a universally conserved ribonucleoprotein.
Source: RNAcentral
GCUGGGCAUGGGGGCACAUGCCUAUAGUCUCAGCUAUUUGGGAGGCUGAGGCUGGAGGAUCUCUUGAGUCCAGGAGUUCUGGGCUGUAGUGUACUAUGCCAAUCGGGUAUCCACACUAAAUUCAACAUCAAUACGGUGACCUCCUGGGAGCGGGGAACCAGCAGGUUGCCUAAGGGGGGAUGAACCGGCCCAGGUCGGAAACGGAGCAGGUCAAAACUCCUGUGCUGAUCAGUAGUCGGAUGGCACCUAUGAAUAGCCACUGCACUCCAGGCUCGGCAACAUAGNNNNNNNN